Molecule: long non-coding RNA, 313 nt
Organism: Mercenaria mercenaria
Lineage: Eukaryota; Metazoa; Mollusca; Bivalvia; Venerida; Veneridae
Exons: 3
Source: RefSeq, a predicted model, not a curated record
AGGCUUUCCUCUUGGGAAUACCACAAUUGCAAAGACGAAAGGCAUUUGGGUAUGGUGCAUUAACCACCCGGAGCAGAAGGGUACUGUUCUUAUUUUACUUGACACUGAAGGUCUUGGGGAUGUGAAAAAGGGUGACAUUAAUCACGACAACAAAAUAUGUACGCUAGCAUCGUUGUUAUGCAACGUUCUUGUGUACAAUAUAAUGACAGCCUUCAAUCAAGAUGCACUUGAAAAGUUAACCUUUAUAGCGGAAAUGUCGAAGAAUAUAAAGUUCAAGAACGAUUUUGAUCGGAAAGAGACAGGUAAUGAAAAU